This 315-nucleotide long non-coding RNA is filed under the name Monodelphis domestica (gray short-tailed opossum). Its description in RNAcentral is "lncRNA (ENSMODG00000044612.1)". The record is from RNAcentral. Lineage: Eukaryota; Metazoa; Chordata; Mammalia; Didelphimorphia; Didelphidae.
AGAGAAGAUUAUGUCAGCAUCUAUAAAAAUCUAUAUUUGAUUGAAUCAAUAGCUAUUUUAUGUGGGGAUGGCUAAUCAGAUGUCUCUUUUUGCCUCUAAAAGCUUCUCCCAUUGUUUCACAGCCCCCUUUGGAGGAUCAAACUCAGGACCUUCAGCUUUAGAGACUGAUGUGUUGCCUACUGUGCUAAGAAGGCGAGCACUUGCAUAUAGGAUAUAUUCUAUAACGCAAAAAGAUAAGAGAUGGAAGAAGAUCUAAGAGCAUUGCUCUAGCAAUUUUAGGGAAAGAUUGGACACGGAAAAGCUGAUGCAACAGAA